UCCAUCGUGAGGUGGAAUCUGAAGGAAGCCGGCGGCAAAGCUCCGACCCGAGGAACACGAACAGUAUCAGGCGCAAAACGUGGGGUAAGGCUGCCAUUCAAGCUGAAGCCCAAAAGCUACACGGAUACGUUAGCGUAAAUGCUGCGGGUACAUGGAACGAAAGUGAAUCGU
Molecule: non-coding RNA, 171 nt
Organism: Desulfitobacterium metallireducens DSM 15288
Lineage: Bacteria; Bacillati; Bacillota; Clostridia; Eubacteriales; Desulfitobacteriaceae
Source: Rfam